UGUCAUCAGGCUCUCGCACAGUUUGCCUCCCUCGCCUUCUCUGCCGCUAGGCGGGAUCACGUCAUCUUCGCCAUCGCCGAUGAUGUCACGAGGUCAUUCGAGGUCGACUGUAAUGACGUGCUCGUCUACCAGAUGGCAGAGCUACCGAUAACGGGUGCAGUGGAGAUGCUGCCCUCUGGAACAGGUUCAGCCUUAGUACAGGUAAAAUGGUCGUACAACGUGAAGGAAGAAGGACUUCCAGCCGCAUUGGAUCUCACGUUGAAUGUCAUUCACUACAGCGCAGACAACGUGCACGUGCGAGUGUG
This is a long non-coding RNA of Priapulus caudatus, 305 nucleotides long. RefSeq lists it as uncharacterized. Lineage: Eukaryota; Metazoa; Priapulida; Priapulimorpha; Priapulimorphida; Priapulidae. The transcript has 3 exons. The record is from RefSeq and is a predicted model, not a curated record.